UCAAACAAAGCUUUGCUGGCGACGCGCAGGAGCGUCAGCCCUCCGCUACUCUCUUGUGCUUUUUCUUCAGUCUCCUCACAUCUCUUGGUGAGCCUGUUCGAUUGUUGCAGCAGGACUGCGACAAGUGGCGCCCGAACAGGGACCUGAGGGACGGAGGGGGAGACAACCACAUCUUAGGUACUGAGAAGUCUUUCGAAAGCGUAGUUGCCGGCAGAACGGGCUGCGGCAGAGAGUUAUCUACAGGACAGGCUGUAGGAUGCUGAGGACCCGAGGUGGCUGCCAGAAAGGCUGGUGCGUCAUGCAGACCAUAUUACUCCUGAUCUUGCUCUAGCUUUGGAGGACUCCAGCUGAAGAGCAAGAAGUUCAGCGCAUAUAUUGGGCGUAUGUUCCUGACCCUCCUCUGCUCCAUCCAGUCAGUUGGGAGUCUCCCGAGGUACAGAUCUACUCCAAUGAUUCUGACAUUCUGGGAGGACCUGUUGUCCACGCACAGCUACAACACCGGUUGUACAAUUACACAGGCCUGGGACGAGGGACUCCGAUGUGCUUCUUUAAAAAUGAUUGCAGCGACAUUGCUUGCUUAAAAAACUGCAAGCCCGGCUGUUUAACACUUCGGUCUUCCAAUGUGUGGGGCUGGACCACUCUGGGUCACCAACUCACUGUUAUGCUCUGGGCAGCCAGCGGAGCACCUAGUAAUAGGAGUAAUGGCACCUUGCCUUCUGACCACCCUUUAUGCAUUGUGCUUAGUUACAUCAUCAUCUUCAAUUAAAAAUGACACAUUGCCAUUACCAUGGAUAAAGUGCAAAGGCUCCCCUUCACUUGGCGGGCGCAGAUGGUGAAUGGCCACAACAAAUGAACAUCACUGAAGAACUUUACAUUGUGGACUGGUCUUUAGGACCAAAUUCAAGGACGUCGGCCCCACAAUACAGAGGACUCUCUAUGGGACUUUGGUAUACUCUAGAUGGGUACCCUCAAACCUCUUGGUAGAAAAUAGGGGUGGCUAUGGGAGGAUUAGAUUGGGAUAAUGGUACAAGCGGUGAUGUGAACAAUGACACACAUGUGGCGGCUUGUGUUGCCCCCCCCAUGCGUUGUUGGUGGGGUCUAUUUCUAUUAAUAUGACUUACCAGAGAAAUAAUAUGACUAAUCAGGGAAAUAUGUUUCGCAUUGCCUGUGAAAAUGGCAAUCUCACUAGCUGCAUCUCUUCUGUGCCCAACAAUACCAUGGUUCUUUUACUCAAGCAACCCCCUUUCCUUUAAAUUCCUGUAAACCACACGGGACCUUGGUAUGAUGAUAAGGGCCUGCAAGUAUUAAUGGAAUUAAAGAAAGCUCUAGACUGUCCCAAAAGAGCCAUAGGCCUCAUUGUUGUAGGGUUGUUGUCUUUAAUUUCCUUUAUUGUAUCUUCUAUAGCAGCUGUAGCCUUAACAGAAUGUACAAACUGCGACCUAUGUCAAUGGUUUGACCCAAAAUGCAACCCAGGCUCUUAGUGAUCAAGAGAAUAUUGAUGAGAAAAUAAGUCACAAGCUUAAUGCUCUGUAUGACAUGGUCAUGUAUUUGGGCGAAGAAGUUCAAGGCCUGAAAUUAAGGCACCAAUUGAAGUGUCAUGCAGCUUAUAAUGAAAUUUGUGUCACAUCUAAAGAGUAUAAUCAAUCUAGGUAUAGUUGGGAAACGGUGAAGAAUCACCUGCAGGGCAUAUGGCUUACUGAUAAUUUUACCAAAAAGUUCCUGAACCUUCAUAAAGAGACACUUGACAUGCAAAAUGCAGAAUUGCGGUUUGACCCCGUUAAAACUGCUCAGGAUUUCUUCGACUCCCUCUCUCAAUCCCUCUCACCUUUUGGUAAAUUAGGAAACCUUCCACAUAUAAUUUUAUCUCUGUUAACUGCUGGCCUCCUGAUAGUAUUGACUAUAAUACUGAUCCCCUGUGCAUUCAAGUUGCUUAUACAUUCCUUAAAAAGUAUUGGCUCAGAUCUCCAUAUGACCCAAUUACAUCAACAAAGAUGUGAUAAAAGACUAAAGGGGACAGGAUAGUCAACGAUGGGUAAGUGUCUUGGAGACCUCUGGCAACCUAAGACAGGGCCCCCAUGAUGGAAUGUAGGUACCAAUGACGGGUAAGUCCAGAUGAGUCGUCCAGGAACACCUAAGACAGGCACUGUCACCCUCAUAUAAAAUAAAAAAGGGGGAGAUGUGGGGAGUGGGCUAUGCCCUUCCCUCACUUCCCCCACUUGCUGAUGUGGUGGGAAUGGAGAACAAAACAUCCUGUUUACGCAUUCCAUGAGCAACUGAAGGAGCCCUGCUGUGCCUACCUUUGCCCGGCUAUCGCUGACGUCAAUACUGUGCUUGAUUGUCUAUUGGAUAAUGCUAUUUCCUGGAAUAGUGUGCUUCUUUGCUGUAUAAAUACUCUGGACUCAAACAAAGCAUUGCUGGCGACGCGCAGGAGUGUCAGCCCUCCGCUA
Long non-coding RNA from Manis pentadactyla (Chinese pangolin), 2447 nucleotides. RefSeq lists it as uncharacterized. The transcript is spliced from 2 exons. The record is from RefSeq and is a predicted model, not a curated record. Lineage: Eukaryota; Metazoa; Chordata; Mammalia; Pholidota; Manidae.